Molecule: non-coding RNA, 94 nt
Organism: Cylindrobasidium torrendii FP15055 ss-10
Lineage: Eukaryota; Fungi; Basidiomycota; Agaricomycetes; Agaricales; Physalacriaceae
Source: the annotation of a GenBank genome assembly
GGGGACAUAGCUCAGUUGGGAGAGCAGCAGGCUGAAGUGUGUCCUCUUCAUCGCGAAUUUCUGAAGGUCCCCAGUUCAAUCCUGGGUGUCCCCA